UAUUGUAAUGUAAAAUUUAACAUUAUCAUUAACAUUUGUCUGAUUUACAUUCUUCAGCUGAAAAUCAAAUUGUUGCCAGGGGCUUUGCAACAGAGAAUAAAGUACAGUGACAUGACUUAAUGGAAGGAUCAAUGACCCAUAUUCUCAAUAAGGUACCAAGAAUUGUUACAGGCAUGAAGUCGGGUACAGGAAUCAAGGGAACAGACAGAGGGGAGGACAGAAGGAGAAGGACUCUCCACUGAACACAGAACCCAACAUGGGCCUCACUCUCAUGACCCGGAGAUCAUGACCUGAGCUGAAAUCAAGAAUCAGAUGCUUAACCCACUGAACUCCAGGAACUCCAAUAAAUGACAUUAUAGACAAAGAAAUAACUCUGUGGGGAAGGAUGGAAGCAGGAAUGUUCAAGCAAUGCACUAUACUUGAAAUGUACAUUUUAUGUUGGGACUGAAGAGGAAAAUAAGGUUGAAAAAAUAAGAGGACCAGAUAGUAAAGGCCUGUAUUCAUUCAUGAGGGCUGUGGUAACAAAGUACCAGAGAUGAUGUGACUUAUAAAACAGAAAUGAAUUUUCUCACAUUUCUGAAGGCUAGAAGUCCAAGCACAAGGUAUUAACAGAUUUGGUUUCUUCUAAAGCCUUUUUCCUUGAUUUGCAGAUGGCCAUGUCUUCACAUGAUCUUUCCUCUGUGUGCAUCCAUUCCUGCUGACUAUUUCUUUGUUCAAGUUUUCUCUCCUUAUAAGGACACAAGUCAGGUUGCACUAGGGACCGCUCUAACAGCCUCACUAUAACUUAAUCACCUCUUUAAAGGUCCUACCUCCAAAUACACUCAUAUUCUGUAGUACGAAGUGUUAGGGACUCAACAUAUGAAUUUCAGAGGCAGCAGUUCAGUCCAUAGGAAAUUUACAUGCCAAGUUGAGAAGAAGGUUUCAAAGAGACAUUACUUAUGACCUGGGAUCUAGUUCUGACUGAGUCCCUUUCCAUUUGUCUUUCAGUGCUCUGUGAAACCUCUCUGGUCCUACAGGUAAUGGAGUUGAACUAGAAAAUCUCCAAGGUUUUCCUAACUAAAAUUCUAUAUUUUGGGGAAAUUCCUAAAAAUAUGAAAAUAGGUCAUAUACCCAUAAGUUAAUCAACAUCAUGAGUCAGCUUAUUUACAGUCAAUUAGACCAAGCAUAACCUCUAAAGCAGCACUUCCUAAACUCUUUUGAGAAUACUAAGAAGUAUCACUCAAAAGGUAUUCUGAGGUCAUAAAAAUCCAGAAAAUUUGCAAAAUUAUUUUGAUGGGAGGAUUUUGAGCUUUUAGGUAAACCAAGACAUUUUUUUGGAAGCUACAAAACCCCGGGGCAGGUGCAUUCUCCUUUUUUCCUAAUGGGACAUUAAUAUCUUUCACGCUUACCUCUCAAUUUGUACAACAUUUAUAAGGAAUAAAAUCAAAGUUGUUAUAUUGAAAUAGUUAAGUGUGUUAUCUGCAGCCUUGUUGUUUGUAUUCUUUUAUAAAAAUAAUUUUUCAGAGAACAUUUUAAACAAUUUGAGGAGUGGUCACUAAAAUACAUUUUAAAAAAUAUUUCAGAU
RNAcentral lists this long non-coding RNA (1564 nucleotides) under Canis lupus familiaris (dog). RNAcentral describes it as "lncRNA (ENSCAFG00000053083.1, ENSCAFG00845024209.1)". Lineage: Eukaryota; Metazoa; Chordata; Mammalia; Carnivora; Canidae. The record is from RNAcentral.